AAAUCACCAAUAUCCAAGACAGGAAGAUCUCAGUUCAACAGCUCCGGUAGUUAGGGAACUAACUCCACUUGCACAGGACUUCAUUUCACUCUUGGUUUUCAGGCUAUAACAGCACUUCACAGAACUAUUCUUUCAGCCAUACACCACUGGUCACAUUUCUACUAAAUCUUUCUGUAACACUUCUUAAAGAAUUCCCUCAUUCGUUAUCUUACAGUGUAAACAGGACUCUAAUUUGUAUCAAUUAUAUGUUUUGGUUGUAAUAUUCAGUUCACUCACCCAAUGUACAACCAAUGAAAUAAAAGAAGCAUUUAAAAGG
RNAcentral lists this long non-coding RNA (316 nucleotides) under Mus musculus (house mouse). RNAcentral describes it as "long non-coding RNA chr14:120431381-120431697". The record is from RNAcentral. Lineage: Eukaryota; Metazoa; Chordata; Mammalia; Rodentia; Muridae.